GCCGAAGUGGCGAAACUGGCAGACGCACAUGCCUUAGGAGCAUGUUGGGAUAAUUCCCAGUGCAGGUUCAACUCCUGUCUUCGGCA
This 86-nucleotide transfer RNA is filed under the name Candidatus Dojkabacteria bacterium HGW-Dojkabacteria-1. Its description in RNAcentral is "tRNA-Leu". It matches the Rfam family "tRNA". From Rfam's summary of the family: Transfer RNA (tRNA) molecules are approximately 80 nucleotides in length. Their secondary structure includes four short double-helical elements and three loops (D, anti-codon, and T loops). The record is from RNAcentral.